UUGAGUGCCAGCUGUGGGGUCAUUGGGCUGCAGAACAUAGAAAUGGGGCCCCAUGAUUGAUAUGAUAUGGUCAAAUCUAUGUUCUGUUAGGACCCAGGGGCAAUCAGCUCAUCCAUGUGGGUGUCUAGAUGUCGAAACAGACCUCACCUGAAGAACCCUUUGCAGCCCUCGCAGGUCAAGGCAUGGAAGUGAUAUCCAGUGGCCCUGUCCCCGCAUACGGCACAGCUCCGCAGUUCAUCUUCUCUGCUUGCCAUCGGCCUGAGGAUGCCCCCUGAGAAUGAGGAAGGCCCCAUGGCAGCAGAGAGCAGCACAAUAAAGAACAACUCAGUGGAGAAGCCAACAGAGAGCAGUGUGAUGGAGGAGCAGAUCUUCAGAGGACUCCAGCUCAGCAGAGAAAGUGGAUCGAGGGGCAGCUAGGUGGUGCAGUGGACAGAGUACCGGCCCUGGAGUCGGGAGUACCUGAGUUCAAAUCUGGCCUCAGACACUUAACACUUACUAGCUGUGUGACCCUGGGCAAGUCACUUAACCCCAAUUGCCUCAAUUAAAAAAGAAAAAAAAAGAAAGUGGAUCGAAGUUCACUAACACCACCAGUAGAUAUUGAUAACUCAACAGGUAAGCAAGCAAUAACUACAGAGGCAGAGAUUUCCAACAGGAACUGACUCUCUCUUAAGACCUAACCAUAGGGCAGCUAGGUGGCACAGUGGAUGGAGCACCAGCCCUGGAGUCAGGAGGAUCAGUUCAACUCCGGCCUCAGACAUUUGACACUUACUAGCUGUGUGACCCUGGGCAAAUCACUUAACCACAAUUGCCUCACAAAAAAAAAAAAGACCUAACCAUGAAUGUUGCUUAACCAUCUGGGUUCCCUGAUUACAUGUGCAUAUAAGUGUCUCUAUAUGUACAUUCCCCCAAUGGUCCUACUUUUAGCCCUACCCCCAAAGCCAUCAUGGAGAUGUGACCGGGUUAUUUCCCCUACAGGUGCUGUAGCACCCACCUUCUCAAUAGCCCUCCUCAAUGUGUCACACUUGUUCCAAUUAGAUAUCCUGUCUCCUACUGGUUGCAUUGUUAUCUAUAAGAGUAUAGCUCUGUGUGUAUUGGGGAAGGGGAGCUAUUUUGUCACUUAUUUCCACCUAAAUAAAUGUCCUGUGCUUUGAACUAA
This is a long non-coding RNA of Dromiciops gliroides (monito del monte), 1156 nucleotides long. RefSeq lists it as uncharacterized. The record is from RefSeq and is a predicted model, not a curated record. NCBI's taxonomy places the organism in Eukaryota, Metazoa, Chordata, Mammalia, Microbiotheria, Microbiotheriidae. The transcript is spliced from 2 exons.